UCCUUAGUGGCCUAGCAGGUUAAGGAUCCAGCAUUGUCAUUGCUGUGGCAUGGGUUCAAUCCCUGGCUCAGGAA
RNAcentral lists this transfer RNA (74 nucleotides) under Sus scrofa (pig). It matches the Rfam family "tRNA". From Rfam's summary of the family: Transfer RNA (tRNA) molecules are approximately 80 nucleotides in length. Their secondary structure includes four short double-helical elements and three loops (D, anti-codon, and T loops). Further hydrogen bonds mediate the characteristic L-shaped molecular structure. tRNAs have two regions of fundamental functional importance: the anti-codon, which is responsible for specific mRNA codon recognition, and the 3' end, to which the tRNAs corresponding amino acid is attached (by aminoacyl-tRNA synthetases). tRNAs cope with the degeneracy of the genetic code in two manners: having more than one tRNA (with a specific anti-codon) for a particular amino acid; and 'wobble' base-pairing, i.e. permitting non-standard base-pairing at the 3rd anti-codon position. The record is from Rfam by way of RNAcentral. Lineage: Eukaryota; Metazoa; Chordata; Mammalia; Artiodactyla; Suidae.